CCUACGGGAGGCUGCAGUGGGGAAUAUUGCACAAUGGGGGAAACCCUGAUGCAGCGACGCCGCGUGAGUGAAGAAGUAUUUCGGUACGUAAAGCUCUAUCAGCAGGGAAGAAAAUGACGGUACCUGACUAAAAAGCCCCGGCUAACUACGUGCCAGCAGCCGCGGUAAUACGUAGGGGGCAAGCGUUAUCCGGAUUUACUGGGUGUAAAGGGAGCGUAGACGGCAGCGCAAGUCUGGAGUGAAAUCCCAUGGCUUAACCAUGGAACUGCUUUGGAAACUGUGCAGCUAGAGUGCAGGAGAGGUAAGCGGAAUUCCUAGUGUAGCGGUGAAAUGCGUAGAUAUUAGGAGGAACACCAGUGGCGAAGGCGGCUUACUGGACUGUAACUGACGUUGAGGCUCGAAAGCGUGGGGAGCAAACAGGAUUAGAUACCCCGGUAGUC
RNAcentral lists this ribosomal RNA (440 nucleotides) under uncultured bacterium. RNAcentral describes it as "partial 16S ribosomal RNA". It matches the Rfam family "Bacterial small subunit ribosomal RNA", at positions 338 to 795 of the family's 1533-position model. The record is from RNAcentral.